CUGUGUUACAUUUUCGUUUUUUUUUUCGUUUAUUGUAGGCCGUUGGUUUUCUUUUUUGAACUGUUUCACAUUUUUGUCAUUUUGGAGCCUUAAUAGUAUACUCUACGGUAUGGGUUUUGUUCAUGGUUGAAGGUAGUACUGUGAAAUAAAGAUGCAUACAUGAACGUACGUCAGUCGGUCUCCGUUGAAAAUUUGUUUAAAUGGCAAUCAUACCAAAUUUGCUUAUCCUU
Molecule: long non-coding RNA, 230 nt
Filed under: Mytilus galloprovincialis (Mediterranean mussel)
Lineage: Eukaryota; Metazoa; Mollusca; Bivalvia; Mytilida; Mytilidae
Source: RNAcentral